Molecule: transfer RNA, 65 nt
Filed under: Longitarsus melanocephalus
Lineage: Eukaryota; Metazoa; Arthropoda; Insecta; Coleoptera; Chrysomelidae
Description: tRNA-Pro
Source: RNAcentral
CAGAUAUUAGUUUAAUAAAAAAAUUUUAAUUUUGGAGAUUAAAGAUAAGAAUUUCUUAUAUCUGA